Cercocebus atys (sooty mangabey) is the source of this 697-nucleotide long non-coding RNA. RefSeq lists it as uncharacterized. The record is from RefSeq and is a predicted model, not a curated record. NCBI's taxonomy places the organism in Eukaryota, Metazoa, Chordata, Mammalia, Primates, Cercopithecidae. The transcript has 6 exons.
GAGCUAUGAUUGCACCACCGCUCUCCAGCCUGGGCAAUGGAGCAAGACCCUGUCUCUAAAACAAGAAACAAAGUGCACCAGUGUGUGGAUACCAGCUUCUCCUGGUGUGUGGACCUGACUGUACUUGGCCCCAUCGGCAAAGAAAGCAGCUUACCUGAGGUCGCCUCUCAGGACAGGGCUGUGCUCUUCUGGGAUCACUGUGACAAUGCAGCUGGCCUAUGUGGACCCUCUCUCCUCACAUGGUGCAGGUCCCAUUGUGCCACCUCCAGACAGGCCACAUUAGUCUGAGGGCCUCCCUUCCCUGGUACCCAGCCCCCACCACUAGGUAUGUGCGCCCUCCCUAAAGCCCACUGUAUUCACCAGCUGUGUUUGAACUCUGUCUCUGUGCAAGGCCUCAUGCAAAGCCUGAAACAGCCUGGCUUGUAGAGGGCCAGGAGACCAAAGCUUGAAGACAGAGUGAUGGUCUCCCAGAAUCCACUUAGCCUCAGCCCCAGGGCUACGUCCAUGCUGGUCCUGGCUCCAGUGGGUCAAUUCUCUCCCAUGACGUCUGUAAGGGCUCCGGUGGUGAUGGAGAAGUACAGAGGAACCUGGUGCCAGCCGCAGUCAACCCUGAUGUGAUGACCUUUCUACCCGCCCUCUUUGAUGUCUUGGUGCUGGCCGCUGUCUUUGGCCAGGGUCUCACUCUCGCCCAGGCUGG